Molecule: ribosomal RNA, 356 nt
Filed under: uncultured Glomeraceae
Lineage: Eukaryota; Fungi; Glomeromycota; Glomeromycetes; Glomerales; Glomeraceae
Description: SSU rRNA
Rfam family: Eukaryotic small subunit ribosomal RNA
Source: RNAcentral
AGCAGCCGCGGUAAUUCCAGCUCCAAUAGCGUAUAUUAAAGUUGUUGCAGUUAAAAAGCUCGUAGUUGAAUUUCGGGGUCAGUAGAUUGGUCGUGCCACUGGUAUGUACUGGUCUCACUGGCUCCUCCUUCCUGAUGAACCGUAAUGCCAUUAAUUUGGUGUUGCGGGGAGACUGGACUGUUACUUUGAAAAAAUUAGAGUGUUUAAAGCAGGCUAACGCUUGAAUACAUUAGCAUGGAAUAAUGAAAUAGGACGUUCGAUCUUAUUUUGUUGGUUUCUAAGAUUGACGUAAUGAUUAAUAGGGAUAGUUGGGGGCAUUAGUAUUCAAUUGUCAGAGGUGAAAUUCUUGGAUUUAG